This 253-nucleotide ribosomal RNA is filed under the name uncultured bacterium. Its description in RNAcentral is "partial 16S ribosomal RNA". It matches the Rfam family "Bacterial small subunit ribosomal RNA", at positions 524 to 776 of the family's 1533-position model. The record is from RNAcentral.
UACGGAGGGUGCAAGCGUUAUCCGGAUUCACUGGGUUUAAAGGGUGCGUAGGUGGGCAGGUAAGUCAGUGGUGAAAUCUCCGGGCUUAACCCGGAAACUGCCAUUGAUACUAUCAGUCUUGAAUACCGUGGAGGUAAGCGGAAUAUGUCAUGUAGCGGUGAAAUGCUUAGAUAUGACAUAGAACACCCAUUGCGAAGGCAGCUUACUACGGAGACAUUGACACUGAGGCUCGAAAGCGUGGGGAUCAAACAGG